GCAGGCGACGAUGCAGAGGGCUGUAAGUGUGGUGGCCCAUCUGGGCUCUCGCCUGCAGGCAUUCUCCCCGGCCUUGUGUCGUCCAUUUAGUUGCGCACAGGAGGUGCUCCGCCGGACACCGCUGUAUGACUUCCACCUGGCCCACGGCGGGAAAAUGGUGGCGUUUGCGGGUUGGAGUCUGCCAGUGCAGUACCGGGACAGUCACACUGACUCGCACCUGCACACACGCCAGCACUGCUCGCUCUUUGACGUGUCUCAUAUGCUGCAGACCAAGAUACUUGGUAGUGACCGGGUGAAGCUGAUGGAGAGUCUAGUGGUUGGAGACAUUGCAGAGCUAAGACCAAACCAGGGGACACUGUCGCUGUUUACCAACGAGGCUGGAGGCAUCUUAGAUGACUUGAUUGUAACCAGUACUUCUGAGGGCCACCUGUAUGUGGUGUCCAACGCUGGCUGCUGGGAGAAAGAUUUGGCCCUCAUGCAGGUAUACCCCCUCUGUGUUCUAGGCACCUUGUCUUCCUUGUUCAUAGAGCAGCAUCCUUGUUAUCCAAGACAGGGUUGGCACAGACAAAGGACCUGGAAAAUGGCUCUUUCAGUGAAUGAACAGCUAUGAGACUCAAGAGCAGGCCCUCUCUGGAGCAUGCCAGGGUUUGGUGGUGGGGGAUUACCAGGCAUGGGGAGGGGGUCUUGGCCCCUCUGGUGUGAGGUGGCAGACCUGGGCUUGGGUCAUCUCUAUCACUUAGUAGCUAUGUGACCUUGUAAGAUGGGAACCAGCCUACUACCUUUUUUUCCUCCCUCCUCCUCCUCCUCUCCACUGUCUUACUACUGUCCAGCUCUGCAGCGUCCAGCCCAUGGUAGCUGCUCAGUAAGUGGCCCCAGAUGCUCUUGUGUUUCUGUCUUUUAGGACAAGGUCAGGGAGCUUCAGAACCAGGGCAGAGAUGUGGGCCUGGAGGUGUUGGAUAAUGCCCUGCUAGCUCUGCAAGGCCCCACUGCAGCCCAGGUACUACAGGCCGGCGUGGCAGAUGACCUGAGGAAACUGCCCUUCAUGACCAGUGCUGUGAUGGAGGUGUUUGGCGUGUCUGGCUGCCGUGUGACCCGCUGUGGCUACACAGGAGAGGAUGGUGUGGAGGUGUGUCAAGAAGUGGUGUAGGGGGCAGUACAGGGCACAAGAUGCAUGUGAGGGGUUGGGGGUAUGUGGUACAGGGAGCUUCCCAUCUGCCCUCUGGUGUUUCAUACAGAUCUCGGUGCCGGUAGCGGGGGCAGUUCACCUGGCAACAGCUCUUCUGAAAAACCCAGAGGUGAAGCUGGCAGGGCUGGCAGCCAGGGACAGCCUGCGCCUGGAGGCAGGCCUCUGCCUGUACGGGAAUGACAUUGAUGAACACACUACACCUGUGGAGGGCAGCCUCAGUUGGACACUGGGGAAGCGCCGCCGAGCUGCUAUGGACUUCCCUGGAGCCAAAGUCAUUGUUCCCCAGCUGAAGGGCAAGGUGCAGCGGAGGCGUGUGGGGUUGAUGUGUGAGGGGGCCCCCAUGCGGGCACACAGUCCCAUCCUGAACAUGGAGGGUACCAAGAUUGGUACUGUGACUAGUGGCUGCCCCUCGCCCUCUCUGAAGAAGAAUGUGGCGAUGGGUUAUGUGCCCUGCGAGUACAGUCGUCCAGGGACAAUGCUGCUGGUAGAGGUGCGGCGGAAGCAGCAGAUGGCUGUAGUCAGCAAGAUGCCCUUUGUGCCCACAAACUACUAUACCCUCAAGUGAAGCUGGCUCAGGGUGGGGCUGUCCCUUCCAGAAGUUUUGCCCCUACAAGGGGUUAGUCAAGAAGCUGAGGCAGAACUCACUGGGGGUGGGCAGUUAAGGUGGAGGCUGAUUCUAAUUGUCUGGCUGAGGGGCCACACCACCUAUUCCCCCCACCUAACUCAUGCCACUCCAGCUUCCUUCAGGACCCUGCUUCUGAGUGACGGACCAGCUCACACAAUGUCUUGUUUCAGUCCAUGAUCCCACUGACCUACUCUUGCCUGCUGGAGGGUAAUGAGAAGCUUUGGUUCUGCCAUCUCUCCCACUCUGCCAGGUGCUGGCUGUGGAGCAAAGGCUCACCUUUGUGGGGAGGAUAAAACCUGCCCAACCUACCUCACCAUGGUUUUUCACAUUGCAAACGGUAAUAACAUGGGCAGUGUGGACUUAGGCUACCCCCUCCAGUUUGCUUUCCGUAAAUGCAAAUUGUCCCUACUGCAAGUCAGGAAUGAUUGCCGACUCACAGUAGGGCUGCUAUGCCUGUGUGUAAACUUGGGGAUGGCUGAGGGAACACAGACUCACUCUUCCGCAUUCCCAAGUUGGUCUAGUGUGCUGCCCAGUAGCAAACCAUGGCAGGCUCACCACCUAUUCUGAGCUCCAGGGCUGUUGUAGGGCAGGGUGGGCUUCCUCCCAGACUUGCCUUACCCUGGGCUGAUCUUUGCCCCUGGUAUGCAUUAAUGGAC
Molecule: small RNA, 2467 nt
Filed under: Pongo abelii (Sumatran orangutan)
Lineage: Eukaryota; Metazoa; Chordata; Mammalia; Primates; Hominidae
Description: retained intron
Source: RNAcentral